RNAcentral lists this unclassified non-coding RNA (601 nucleotides) under Bombus terrestris (buff-tailed bumblebee). RNAcentral describes it as "misc RNA ENSBTSG00005024481.1". The record is from RNAcentral. Lineage: Eukaryota; Metazoa; Arthropoda; Insecta; Hymenoptera; Apidae.
CUAGAUUCUUGUACAGUGAUAAAAUCGUCGUAAAACAACCCUGAUAUUCGUCGGAGUUAAUACAAUUUAUCCAAGUUAGAUUCGUUCAAGUUCAAAGAAUCGACGGAAGUAUUUAAUUGUUCGAUUAGAGGCGAAAGCACGCGUUCAACAUCGAUGGAUAAGGGCGAAGAUUUCCCAUUGGGGCGUCGCUAAAUGGGAAACUACACCGAGGAAACCAACGGUCGAAAACGGCUUAUGACGAAGGAUGCUGGUCGAGAAAGGAACGGCGAGAUUGAACUAACAACCGGACGAGCAAUUAGUAUGUUUUUAAACUGGCGCUAACUAGUCGACGAAACCCACACGAUAUCUACACGAAACAAGCCCACAUCUCCACUUUCGCUUUCGACACUUGUUCAUACACGAAGAAAAUCCAAGGAACAAGUUCCGAAGCUAGAAAAUUACAACUGUUACCACGAUUUGUGCAUCGAUCAGUGCACCGAAGAAAGGUCAUCCACUCGAAAAAAAAGAAAAAAAGAGGAAAGACUUGUCGUCUAGCUGAUAAGACAGCGACAAUAAGAAAUUAGCAAACACCAAGCUGAAGGAUAGGAGGACCGUAGAAAAG